Molecule: non-coding RNA, 72 nt
Organism: Sorex araneus (European shrew)
Lineage: Eukaryota; Metazoa; Chordata; Mammalia; Eulipotyphla; Soricidae
Source: the annotation of a RefSeq genome assembly
AGGGGUAUAGCUUAGUGGUAGAGUGUGUGCUUAGCAUGCAUGAGGUCCUGGGUUCGAUUUCCAGUACCUCCA